CAAUCCUUCUGACUCAGUCCUUCCUGGUGGUGCACACCUUAUUCAGCCAAGAUGGAUGCCAGAGAGAAGGAUUCUGGGAGGUGGUUGGACAUGUGGUGUCUCCUUUUGACCUUUCCUGAACUCUUCCGGUUGGUGCUCUUGCUGAACUCCUCCCCUGACUCCAUCAGCGUCAUCACCUGUCCCUGCUGCCACCACCGUCCGCGACAGGGACAGAAGUCGCAGGACACAAGGACAAGAUCCAGGAGUGAAAACCCAAGGCCUUUCCGCCUUGAACCCAGAUCCAUUCUCUAACGCAAUGCAAGGCUCCCUCACAGACAGGACCCAGCUCCAUCUUCCUCCAGCCCAGGAGUGGACACACACACAGCUCCUUUCUCUCCUCAUUUCUUGGCCUUCUCACCCACACAAGUACCUGCUCCACCGCCCAGUUCCACCUCAACCCUGACCUCCACCUCCUGCAGCUCCCCUCCCCCUCGCCCCCAGCCCUGAGCCAGCAGCUCCGAACUGGAAAGCCCAUCCGGAGGCCCAGGGGACAGCAGCCCUGUCUAGGAACACUGGGCUGCCCCGGACUCUCCCCCUGACCGGACCUUGGAGCACUGCUGGCCUCGCCCCAGCCCUCACUCUCUGCCCAAGCUCCUAGGCUACACUUGGCCUUUCCUGCUCCUUCCUGGGAAUCCCAGCUCCACUCCAAGUGCUGGGCUGGGCUGAGGCAGAGCAGGCCCUCCUGCCUUGCUCAGCCAGGGAGUCAACCAGGACCCGCCCUCACUACCUGCAGGGGAUCUGCUUUUCAAUGUGGAUUGGGGUUCUUGAGAAUUUCCCCAGAAUGAGGCUGUACCUGGCCCCCUCUGCAUCCUGGGACUGCCAUCCCACCCUCCACCUCCCAGCAGGAGUGACCCAUUUGAAUUCCUAUUUCAUUCAGUAUGCAUGGAAUCCUAUUAAGGUCUGCCACCUGAAAUCACAAACAAUUUUAUUGAACAUUAAAAACUUCAAAAGUGA
Molecule: long non-coding RNA, 993 nt
Organism: Dama dama (fallow deer)
Lineage: Eukaryota; Metazoa; Chordata; Mammalia; Artiodactyla; Cervidae
Exons: 2
Source: RefSeq, a predicted model, not a curated record